This 881-nucleotide ribosomal RNA is filed under the name uncultured bacterium. RNAcentral's name for it is "bacterial SSU rRNA". It matches the Rfam family "Bacterial small subunit ribosomal RNA", at positions 8 to 879 of the family's 1533-position model. The record is from RNAcentral.
AGAGUUUGAUCCUGGCUCAGGAUGAACGCUAGCUACAGGCUUAACACAUGCAAGUCGAGGGGAAACGAUAGAGAAAGCUUGCUUUUUCUAGGCGUCGACCGGCGCACGGGUGAGUAACGCGUAUCCAACCUGCCCACCACUUGGGGAUAACCUUGCGAAAGUAAGACUAAUACCCAAUGACGUCUCUAGAAGACAUCUGAAAGGGAUUAAAGAUUUAUCGGUGAUGGAUGGGGAUGCGUCUGAUUAGCUUGUUGGCGGGGUAACGGCCCACCAAGGCAACGAUCAGUAGGGGUUCUGAGAGGAAGGUCCCCCACAUUGGAACUGAGACACGGUCCAAACUCCUACGGGAGGCAGCAGUGAGGAAUAUUGGUCAAUGGGCGAGAGCCUGAACCAGCCAAGUAGCGUGCAGGAUGACGGCCCUAUGGGUUGUAAACUGCUUUUAUAAGGGAAUAAAGUGAGUCUCGUGAGGCUUUUUGCAUGUACCUUAUGAAUAAGGACCGGCUAAUUCCGUGCCAGCAGCCGCGGUAAUACGGAAGGUCCGGGCGUUAUCCGGAUUUAUUGGGUUUAAAGGGAGCGUAGGCCGGAGAUUAAGCGUGUUGUGAAAUGUAGAUGCUCAACGUCUGCACUGCAGCGCGAACUGGUUUCCUUGAGUACGCACAAAGUGGGCGGAAUUCGUGGUGUAGCGGUGAAAUGCUUAGAUAUCACGAAGAACUCCGAUUGCGAAGGCAGCUCACUGGAGCGCAACUGACGCUGAAGCUCGAAAGUGCGGGUAUCGAACAGGAUUAGAUACCCUGGUAGUCCGCACGGUAAACGAUGGAUGCCCGCUGUUGGUCUGAAUAGGUCAGCGGCCAAGCGAAAGCAUUAAGCAUCCCACCUGGGGA